Molecule: non-coding RNA, 92 nt
Organism: Kwoniella shandongensis
Lineage: Eukaryota; Fungi; Basidiomycota; Tremellomycetes; Tremellales; Cryptococcaceae
Source: the annotation of a GenBank genome assembly
GUCCCUUUGGUGUAGUCGUUAGCAUGUCGCUUUCCGGUUUUUGCUCAAUCGGUGGACGGCGAGGGUCAGCGGUUCAAAUCCGCUAAGGGACU